CUAAUCUUACAAAUAAACUUCAAAACAAAUAUACCAAACCAAUCAACACAACUAAAAUUCAACGACAUAUACAUUGAGCCAGCUAAACAAAUAUAAACUACACGGCCAAAUAUUUAACAAUUUACAAACUUACUUUCACAGAUGCUUAUGAAGAAGAGGAAGACGACAAUCAAGAUCAGUGAAAUUACCUAAACAAAAAAGCAGAGUAAGUUACAAACUCUGAUAAAUACAACUAACAAUGAUUUUUGUUUACAUAUUACCCAUUAAAUAAAAGAGAAACAAACACAGUCACACCAGGAGAUACAAGAGACAAUCCCAACAGACACAAAGACAGCAACAACAUCUCCACCUACUCACUCAUCUUGUCUUAUAAAAAUAGCUUAUAUGCUCAAUGUCAACAUGCCAACGCUAUUGUCUUCUUAUGAGAAAUACAUAUAUUCGUUUAAAACCCAUUAAGACUCAAAUACUAAUUGUCACUCAUUUUAUAGUUAUUUCUACAAGUUUUCAUAUAUUUGUUUUAAAAGUCCGGUAAAAACAACAAGUUUAAAAGUAAAAAAAACAUAUAACCAACAUAAUAAGAAUAAAAAAAAUUAUUACUU
Molecule: long non-coding RNA, 599 nt
Filed under: Brassica napus (rape)
Lineage: Eukaryota; Viridiplantae; Streptophyta; Magnoliopsida; Brassicales; Brassicaceae
Description: long non-coding RNA (BNAP_LNC014447)
Source: RNAcentral